GACGUGGUGGAAACUUGUGUUGGGAAAAUAACUUCAAUUUAAUGCUUCUAUAUCUGUCCCCUUGUUCAUUUUUCUUCACUUAAGAUAGAAAAUGUUAUGAAACUUACCCAAUAUCCCCUUUUAGUCCUGGGUACUUUUUUCCAAUUCCAGAUAUUAAUGGGACCCUUGAGUCUUAGAUUAUCUGGCUCUCAAGGAAGGAAUAAAUAAUCAACUAACUGAAUAUGAUUUUGAUGCGAUCUAGUUCUCCUGAUGUUUAACAUGACAUGAUGAUGUAUGCCCCUUCCAGAAAAGAAUUACUAUAGACCGCAAUUCCUGAAGUCCGUGAUCUUGAAAAGGACCCAAAGCUACUCUAUUCUUGUUUACAAUGAGAAUACACUA
RNAcentral lists this long non-coding RNA (378 nucleotides) under Bos taurus (domestic cattle). RNAcentral's name for it is "long non-coding RNA NONBTAT009403". The record is from RNAcentral. Lineage: Eukaryota; Metazoa; Chordata; Mammalia; Artiodactyla; Bovidae.